This 31-nucleotide non-coding RNA is filed under the name Homo sapiens (human). Lineage: Eukaryota; Metazoa; Chordata; Mammalia; Primates; Hominidae. The record is from RNAcentral.
UUCCCUAUUAGAAACAGAGUGUUGUGGGCGU